CAUCGAAAAUCUAAGGUUUCCUGAGGAAGGGUCGUCCGCUCAGGGUAAGUCGGGACCUAAGGAGAGGCGUAAAGCGUAUCCGAUGGACAAUCGGUUGAAAUUCCGAUACCGCCGAAUAUCGAUUGAAGGAAGCAGUGACACAGGAGGAUAGGAAGAGCACGGAGUUGGUAUACCGUGUCCAAGCAUCGAGGCUGGUCAGUAGGAAAGACCGCUGACCGAUAAGGCUGAGGUGUGAUGGGGAGCGAAAUUAGAGUAGCGAAGAAUCCGAUUUCACACUGUCAAGAAAAGCUGCUAACGAGAUAUCAGGUGCCCGUACCGCAAACCGACACAGGUAGAUGAGGAGAGAAUCCUAAGAUGAGCGAGAGAAGCGUUGUUAAGGAACUCGGCAAAAUAACCCCGUAACUUCGGGAGAAGGGGUGCCAGGGAAACCUGGCCGCAGAGAAAUGGCCCAAGCGACUGUUUAGCAAAAACACAGGUCUCUGCUAAAUCGAAAGAUGACGUAUAGGGGCUGACGCCUGCCCGGUGCUGGAAGGUUAAGGGGAAAGCUUAGCGCAAGCGAAGGUUUGAACUUAAGCCCCAGUAAACGGCGGCCGUAACGAUAACGGUCCUAAGGUAGCGAAAUUCCUUGUCAGGUAAGUUCUGACCCGCACGAAUGGCGUAACGACUUGGGCACUGUCUCAACAACGCGCUCGGCGAAAUUGUAGCACUAGUGAAGAUGCUAGUUACCCGCGAUUGGACGGAAAGACCCCGUAGAGCUUCACUGCAGCUUGACAUUGGGUUUUGGUAUUUCAUGUACAGGAUAGGUGGGAGACAGAGAAGCAGUAACGCCAGUUACUGUGGAGUCGACGUUGGGAUACCACUCUUGAGAUACCGGAAUUCUAACCAGUGGCCAUGGAACUGGUCAUGGGACAUAGUCAGGUGGGCAGUUUGACUGGGGCGGUCGCCUCCCAAAGAGUAACGGAGGCGUCCAAAGGUUCCCUCAGAAUGGUUGGAAAUCAUUCGGAGAGUGCAAAGGCAGAAGGGAGCCUGACUGCGAGAGAGACAACUCGAGCAGGUACGAAAGUAGGGCUUAGUGAUCCGGUGGUACCGAGUGGAAGGGCCAUCGCUCAACGGAUAAAAGCUACCUCGGGGAUAACAGGCUUAUCUCCCCCAAGAGUCCACAUCGACGGGGAGGUUUGGCACCUCGAUGUCGGCUCGUCGCAUCCUGGGGCUGAUGUAGGUCCCAAGGGUUGGGCUGUUCGCCCAUUAAAGCGGCACGCGAGCUGGGUUCAGAACGUCGUGAGACAGUUCGGUCCCUAUCCGUCGCGGGCGUAGGAAAUUUGAGGAGAUCUGUCCUUAGUACGAGAGGACCGGGAUGGACGAACCACUGGUGUAUCAGUUGUCCUGCCAAGGGCAUGGCUGAGUAGCCAAGUUCGGAACGGAUAAGCGCUGAAGGCAUCUAAGCGCGAAACCGACUCCAAGAUAAGAUCUCCCACAGCGUAGGCUGGUAAGACCCCAUGUAGACUACAUGGUAGAUAGGUCGGAGGUGUAAGCACAGCAAUGUGUUCAGCUGACCGAUACUAAUAGGUCGAGGGCUUGAUCG
Molecule: ribosomal RNA, 1582 nt
Filed under: metagenome
Description: bacterial LSU rRNA
Rfam family: Bacterial large subunit ribosomal RNA
Source: RNAcentral